UUUCAUUUUUUCGUGUCCAACGUUUGACCAUUCGUCUUAUUUGAAAUUUUUUUUACGAUUAAUAUUUUAUUGUUACUAGAUGAUAAAAUAUGAAUAGUACUUUAUACGUGACUAAUUUUUUUUAAGUUUUUGCACAAAUUUUUCAAAUAAAACGAAUGGUCAAACGUUGGACACGGAAAAAC
This 182-nucleotide microRNA precursor is filed under the name Oryza brachyantha (malo sina). RNAcentral describes it as "MIR812 microRNA precursor family". It matches the Rfam family "MIR812 microRNA precursor family", at positions 19 to 190 of the family's 205-position model. The record is from Rfam by way of RNAcentral. Lineage: Eukaryota; Viridiplantae; Streptophyta; Magnoliopsida; Poales; Poaceae.